UGGGGAAUAUUGGACAAUGGGCGCAAGCCUGAUCCAGCAAUGCCGCGUGUGUGAAGAAGGCCUUCGGGUUGUAAAACACUUUUAUCAGGAGCGAAACGCUGUCGGCUAAUACCCGGCGGAACUGACGGUACCUGAGGAAUAAGCACCGGCUAACUUCGUGCCAGCAGCCGCGGUAAUACGAAGGGUGCAAGCGUUAAUCGGAAUUACUGGGCGUAAAGCGUGCGUAGGCGGUUUCUUAAGUCUGCUGUGAAAUCCCCGGGCUCAACCUGGGAAUGGCAGUGGAUACUGGGAGGCUAGAGUGUGUCAGAGGGUGGUGGAAUUCCCGGUGUAGCGGUGAAAUGCGUAGAGAUCGGGAGGAACAUCAGUGGCGAAGGCGGCCACCUGGGACAACACUGACGCUGAGGCACGAAAGCGUGGGGGAGCAAACAGGAUUAGGAUACCCUGGUAGUCCACGCCCUAAAGCGAUGCGAACUGGAUAUUGGUCUCAACUCGGAGAUCAGUGUCGAAGCUAACGCGUUAAGUUCGCCGCCUGGGGAGUACGGUCGCAAGACUGAAACUU
This 559-nucleotide ribosomal RNA is filed under the name uncultured bacterium. Its description in RNAcentral is "partial 16S ribosomal RNA". It matches the Rfam family "Bacterial small subunit ribosomal RNA", at positions 355 to 902 of the family's 1533-position model. The record is from RNAcentral.